AUUGAACGCUGGCGGCAGGCCUAACACAUGCAAGUCGAACGGUAACAGGAAUCAGCUUGCUGAUUUGCUGACGAGUGGCGGACGGGUGAGUAAUGUCCGGGAAACUGCCUGAUGGAGGGGGAUAACUACUGGAAACGGUAGCCAAUACCGCAUAACGUCGCAAGACCAAAGAGGGGGACCUUCGGGCCUCUUGCCAUCGGAUGUGCCCAGAUGGGAUUAGCUAGUAGGUGGGGUAACGGCUCACCUGGGCGACGAUCCCUAGCUGGUCUGAGAGGAUGACCAGCCACACUGGAACUGAGAAACGGUCCAGACUCCUACGGGAGGCAGCAGUGGGGAAUAUUGCACAAUGGGCGCAAGCCUGAUGCAGCCAUGCCGCGUGUAUGAAGAAGGCCUUCGGGUUGUAAAGUACUUUCAGCGGGGAGGAAGGUGUUGCGGUUAAUAACCGCAGCAAUUGACGUUACCCGCAGAAGAAGCACCGGCUAACUCCGUGCCAGCAGCCGCCGUAA
RNAcentral lists this ribosomal RNA (506 nucleotides) under uncultured bacterium. RNAcentral's name for it is "partial 16S ribosomal RNA". It matches the Rfam family "Bacterial small subunit ribosomal RNA", at positions 30 to 523 of the family's 1533-position model. The record is from RNAcentral.